CGCGUAGGCGGCCUGUUAAGUCAGAUGUGAAAGCCCUGGGCUCAACCUGGGAACGGCAUUUGAUACUGGUGGGCUGGAGUCUGGUAGAGGGGGGUGGAAUUCCAGGUGUAGCGGUGAAAUGCGUAGAGAUCUGGAGGAACAUCCGUGGCGAAGGCGGCCCCCUGGACCGAGACUGACGCUGAGGUGCGAAAGCGUGGGGAGCAAACA
Molecule: ribosomal RNA, 207 nt
Filed under: uncultured bacterium
Lineage: Bacteria
Description: partial 16S ribosomal RNA
Rfam family: Bacterial small subunit ribosomal RNA
Source: RNAcentral